This is a non-coding RNA of Sus scrofa (pig), 50 nucleotides long. Lineage: Eukaryota; Metazoa; Chordata; Mammalia; Artiodactyla; Suidae. The record is from Rfam.
CAAAAAUAUUAUAUUUUUUCUAUAAAAAGGGAAAAAAUGGAAAAAAAUAC